GAACUUAAGCAUAUCAAUAAGCGGAGGAAAAGAAACUAACAAGGAUUCCCCUAGUAACUGCGAGUGAAGCGGGAAAAGCUCAAAUUUAAAAUCUGGUGGUCCCGAGUUGGCUGCCCGAGUUGUAAUCUAGAGAAGUGCUUUCCGCGCUGGACCGUGUACAAGUCUCUUGGAACGGAGCGUCGUAGAGGGUGACAAUCCCGUCUUUGACACGGACUGCCAGGGCUUAUGUGAUGCGCUCUCGAAGAGUCGAGUUGUUUGGGAAUGCAGCUCAAAAUGGGUGGUAAAUUCCAUCUAAAGCUAAAUAUGGGCGAGAGACCGAUAGCGAACAAGUACCGUGAGGGAAAGAUGAGAAGAACUUUGAAAAGAGAGUUAAACAGUACGUGAAAUUGUUGAAAGGGAAACGAUUCAAGUCAGUCGCGUUGGCCGGUAAUCAACCCUUGCGAAGGCGGGGGCUUACUUUCCGUCUGACGGGUCAGCAUCAAUUUUGACCGUCAGAUAAAGGUUUGGGGAACGUGGCAUCUUCGGAUGUGUUAUAGCCCCUUGUCAGAUGUGACGGUUGGGAUUGAGGAACUUGGCACGCCCGCAAAGGGUCGGGGCUUUUUGCCCACGUAACGUGCUUUGGAUGCUGGCAUAAUGGCUUGAACCGACCCGUCUUGAAACACGGACCAAGGAGUCUAACAUGCCUGCGAGUGUUUGGGUGGCAAACUCGAGCGCGAAGUGAAAGUGAAACUUGUCGAGAUCUCUGUCGUGGGGAGCACCGACGCCCGGACCUGACCUUUUGUGAAGGAUCCGCGGUUGAGCAUGCAUGUUGGGACCCGAAA
RNAcentral lists this ribosomal RNA (821 nucleotides) under uncultured fungus. RNAcentral describes it as "eukaryotic LSU rRNA". It matches the Rfam family "Eukaryotic large subunit ribosomal RNA", at positions 30 to 821 of the family's 3401-position model. Lineage: Eukaryota; Fungi. The record is from RNAcentral.